This 443-nucleotide ribosomal RNA is filed under the name uncultured bacterium. RNAcentral describes it as "partial 16S ribosomal RNA". It matches the Rfam family "Bacterial small subunit ribosomal RNA", at positions 338 to 795 of the family's 1533-position model. The record is from RNAcentral.
CCUACGGGAGGCAGCAGUGGGGAAUAUUGGGCAAUGGAGGAAACCCUGAUCCAGCAACGCCGCGUGAGUGAAGAAGGAUUUCGGUAUGUAAAGCUCUGUGAUGAGGGAAGAAAACAAUGACGGUACCUGAGUAACAAGCCCCGGCUAACUACGUGCCAGCAGCCGCGGUAAUACGUAGGUGGCAAGCGUUAUCCGGAAUGACUGGGUGUAAAGGGAGCGUAGGCGGUAAUGGAAGUAUGGAGUGAAAGUCGGGGGCUCAACCUCCGCGCUGCUGUGGAAACUGUUUGACUGGAGUGCAGGAGAGGUAGGUGGAAUUCCUAGUGUAGCGGUGAAAUGCGUAGAUAUUAGGAGGAACACCAGUGGCGAAGGCGGCUUGCUGGACUGUAACUGACGUUGAGGCUCGAAAGCGUGGGGAGCAAACAGGAUUAGAUACCCUUGUAGUC